GGAGCCGCCGCCGAGGUGCUGACGGACCUGCUCGUUGGUCGGGUUCGGGGUGCCGGCGGCGAUCAGGGCGGCGGCGGCGUCUUCAAUGCGGCGGACGGUGUCCGGGGAGAGGGAUGUCAUGGUCUGGCUCCGGUUUCUCAGGGAAUGGCGCCAUCGUAUGCCCGGUAUGAAAAAUACACAAUACAUACAAUACAAUUCAUACAUACAGUACAGAACUUACAUACACUCUUUCUCUUUUCCUGGUCAGAUCCGGUUUCUGGUGGUUACGGAUCUUCCUCUCCCUCCGCACAGCGUUACAUCCCGUCAGCACAGCAUGCAGUGCCUCAUUCAGUUGCCCAUGGCACUAUAUGUUGUGUUGUAUCUCUGGACUGUGAUGCGCCGCGCAGGGGCGGAAAACAGCGAUAUGAUGAUUUUCUCAGGUGGUACACUUCCGGAAAGUCGUUUAUUCAAAUAA
RNAcentral lists this ribosomal RNA (454 nucleotides) under Escherichia coli B86. Its description in RNAcentral is "partial 16S ribosomal RNA". Lineage: Bacteria; Pseudomonadati; Pseudomonadota; Gammaproteobacteria; Enterobacterales; Enterobacteriaceae. The record is from RNAcentral.